This 4367-nucleotide long non-coding RNA is filed under the name Aquilegia coerulea. RNAcentral describes it as "long non-coding RNA (ACOE_LNC000104)". The record is from RNAcentral. Lineage: Eukaryota; Viridiplantae; Streptophyta; Magnoliopsida; Ranunculales; Ranunculaceae.
AGUUUUCUCUGCGCAGACAGGAGACUUGUGGGGUUUCCAAGAACACUACUUACAGCAAAAAACUGGCAACAGGUAGAAGCUGGUACAGUAUCAUUUAUUUAAAACUCUUUGUCCCAUCGCAUGAUCAAUGAAAUCUGUCACUAGAAUCUGCACUGUACUCGUCUCUGUCCUAUUUUGUGCUUUGCUGAUAACUUCCCUAAUUCUCACUCUUAAAACAUCUAUAUUCAAAAGAAAGCAUCUUUGUCUGUAGGCAUUGAAAAGGUUGUCUAACAUGAGUCUAAACUCUAAAGUACAACACGUCCAAGAUAAAGAUUUCCACUACCUAGAUGCACAACACAUACAACUUUCUAGAAUAAUAAAAGAACGGAAAACUCGGUCGAAAGUCAAAUUCAACAUACAAAUUUUCCAACUGAAAUGGGAUUAGUUUCCUAAAAGACAACUACUUGAAAGGGAAAAUACCCGUAAUAAGUAUUACACAAUAUUGAGACACCUAACACAUUUUAAAAGCACUAUGUGAUAACUGAUAAAGAGUAAAGACGUGUCUUUAUAAUUGAACCAAAAAAUAUAUUGGUUUGAAAUAUCAGUUUAACUGCUGUCAGACGAGCCACCUGAGCCUCCUUUUCAUGGCCCAACAAGUGAUUUGAUAUAUAUAUAUAUACAGAGGGGAUCUGGUAUAUUUCUAUUUACUUCAAUUUACUGCAGAUCAUAAUACAAAUCAAAGCAACUAAAAUUUAAGCAAUUGACAUAUUUCAAGGGCCUAUGUAACAACUGACAAUCUAGCAUGCUAGUUAUAUAAGAAAAAAAAACACUUAAACAAAAUAGCAUCUAUAGAUUUAAGAGAGCACAUGAAGGGCAUAAAUAUAUAAAAAUUAUUACUGAAAAUAUAAUUGGAACUCUCUAAUGGAGUUCAGCUGAGAAAGAUUUGGGAAAUAGAAUCGGGAGAGAAAAUAGAAACGAAUUAGGAAUCUAUUUGAUCAAUCCUUACACAAGAGUCGUACUAAUUCCAGUUCAAUUAUAAAUCAAAAUUUUUAGGGUUUGUUCAAAAUUUACAGCCAAUUAAUCAUAUUCACCUAAAUUAAACAACAAAAGAAGAUAAAAGAGUAAGGGUGAGUCUUCAGAUGCUUACCCAGCGAGGAGAAGAAGAUGAGAUGACGCCACGACGUGAAGAAUCACAGCGGUGGUGGUGGUGGUGGUGGUGGGUAGUGGUGGUGGUGGAUACUAAUAAAAAUAGAGAGGGAGAAGAGUUGAGAGAGAGAGAGAGAUAGAUCUAGUUGCGGUGGUGAGGGUGAGAGAGAGAGAUGGAGUUUUCGGUUGCGGCAACCAUUAUCGAGAGAGAGAGAUCGAGUUAGGUUGUGUUUUCUGUUUUUGUUAUGUUAUAUAGUCUGGCGAAUAAUUUUGGCGAAUUCACGGUGAAUGAAAAAACACCUAUUUGGGUGGGUGGGCGAAAAAAUGGUGGAUUCGCCGAGUUUUUUUGGUGAAUGGGUGUAUUUUGACCAAAAAAUCCGGUGUAUAGAUAGUUGACUCCAAAUACGCCAAAUUCUCCGAAACUUUAUCAAACAUCAACAAAUACGGUGAAUCGCGGAGAAUCAGCUAUUCGCCACGGCGAACCGGUUAUCAAACAGGCCCUAAAGUACAAGUGAGAAAUGGUUCUUAGCGUGAGCAGAGCACCUUUGGGUGAUGGUUUUCUUAGCUACUAUGCAAGUCUACUGAUGGCAUGCAUUUCCCCUUGAAACUCAUCACAAUUACUGGUACGGAAACCAGAAGAUGGGGAAUACUAUGUACUUAUGUUCCUUAAUGGUGGACCCUUAUUUCUUCUUCAGUGCUUGUCAUAAAAUAUGGACUUGUUGCAAAGCAUGGGUUUUUGGUCUUCCAAACUUCAACGAGAAAUGUUAGUACAGCCGCAGUCCAUAGAUCCCUUACUAAUAAACUAUAGUGCUUGUAUUUUCCUUGUUUUCUCUAGCAUUACCAGUUCUCAUACACCACCUGAAAAAGACUGCACAACCAUAUAAAUAUAUAGUGAGACAACAUUCACCAGAUUAGCCACAAAAUGUGGCAAAUACCAAAAUGUGGUGUAUUUGUUAUUUGCCAAAAUUUUUUGCCUUCAUUCACCGAGAUUCGUCAAUUUGCCGUGUUUGAUAACCAAUCUGGCAAAUUCGUGGAAAACUCAUUUGCCAUAAUAUUUGUGUUUGAUAACAACUUCGGUGAACAUGGUAAAACUGAUUUGCCAUUUUCUCUUGUGUUUGAUAACUUUUGUGAACAUAAUAAAGUGGCAAAUCCAUUUUUAUAAAAAGCCCAUUAGGUAGCAUUGGGUCCAUGUAAGCCCAUGAAACUUUUUUUUUUUUUUUUUUUUCAUUUUUCUAUAUCCACAAGAUAGUAAAAUAGGUCUGACAAAAGCCCAUUAGGUAGCAUUGGGUCCAUGGGAAUCUGCUAAAGCACAUCAAUGGGAAUACUUCGAGUAUGUCUACAAGGAGAUGACCCUCUUUGGUUACCAGCUAGAUCAAAGCAGGGGAAAUCCCUCAUUUAUCAUUCUUCACUGAAAUGGUCUGUCACGCCACAGCUCAACAUAACUACAGAAGGGUUGUUAAUCUUGUAAAUAGCAUGGCACAUGCUUCAUUCCAUGUUAGUGAAAAGCAGUGGACAGAAAUUUUCAUGGGGUGUCAAGAUCGCAUUGGUAAAGGCGGAUUGCAAAAUUUGUUUUAUGAACUCUGCAAUAGCGACGUAGUGUCAGAAACAAAAUUCAAGUGAGCAGCCAACUUGUCUGUGGUGUGUGUUGUAAAUCUGUGUUUACCUUCCUGUUAAUGUAUCUAGUAGUACGUAUAUUUCAGCGUUGUCUUAUCAAACUGACAUCAAAAUUGUUGAUACCGUAUAUGUAAUUUACAUGCAGACAUUUCCACUAAAAAGUUUGCUGGUAAGACUAAGUAUAAAAUAGGGUGUUCGAAUGCUUCUAAGCUACACAGCCAGUAUCCAACUCGACCUAACCAUUUGUCAGAAACUCAGAACUCCAAAUUGGACAUUGCUCAAGCAAAGUUAUAUCUCGGCUUAUAAUACAAGUACACCUUGCCUCUAUAAAAUAAAAUGUAUAAGUCCUGCAUGGGACUCCAACAUUCAGUUUCAAAGGAAGCCAUCAUUGAGAUUUUGAUAAGCCUACAAUACUUUGCCAAGAAAAGCACACACUAGAGAAAAAGGAGAUUACAGAAUGAGAUUUUUAGUGAUAAAUUACACUCUUUGGAAUCUCAAAUAAAUGAGGUGUUCAUAAUUAUUACAUAAUAUAAACAGAGUUAAUGGGCUAACAACUUCUUGAUCUGUCUGAGGAUACAUUCACUCCAAAUAUACUGCACACUCCUCCAAAAACAAGCCUUUCUUCAAAAUACUGCACAAGAUUCAAACAGAAAGAUAUUCUGGGAUAAUCUAUCAUGGUUGGAAGUAAAAAUGGAACGGAAAGUAAUCAGAGAAUUUUUGUUUGCCCUUUACAUACAAGUCUGAAUAACAAAAGCAGAAAACCGUAGACAUGAAAAACAAGAUUGGAUAUUCAAAUGCAUAUGGAAGAUGACUUUCAAUAGGUUGAGACAUAAAUAAACUUACACUGAACAUUUACAAUUGCAGCGUCACGAAGAUAGCGGUCAUCCAACUUGCCACUGUAUCCACAGACAAUCAACAAAGAAUUCAAAUCAUUUACAGUUUUGUCCGCACAGUUACAAAAGACUUAAAAAAUCUCCAAUAUGAAUUCAAUUCAAACCACGUUUCCAAUACUUGAAUGAAAUGACAUGAAUAUUGAACCACGGUACUCUCAUGCACACUUGGUAAUUAAAAUACUACUACAUGUCUGUUGCAUCAACUGCAACAACCCACCGGCAAAUAUAAGGUAUAUGUUACCUAAUGUUACCUUGAGAACUGGUUCACUAUUCUUGUAACCAGCAGCAGAUUGCUUUGACAUAGUUGAUAUACAAUGGCGCUCCAUACGUGACAGUUUUCUCUGCGCAGACAGGAGACUUGUGGGGUUUCCAAGAACACUACUUACAGCAAAAAACUGGCAACAGGUAGAAGCUGGUACAGUAUCAUUUAUUUAAAACUCUUUGUCCCAUCGCAUGAUCAAUGAAAUCUGUCACUAGAAUCUGCACUGUACUCGUCUCUGUCCUAUUUUGUGCUUUGCUGAUAACUUCCCUAAUUCUCACUCUUAAAACAUCUAUAUUCAAAAGAAAGCAUCUUUGUCUGUAGGCAUUGAAAAGGUUGUCUAACAUGAGUCUAAACUCUAAAGUACAACACGUCCAAGAUAAAGAUUUCCACUACCUAGAUGCACAACACAUACAACUUUCUAGAAUAAUAAAAGAACGGAAAACUCGGUCGGAAGUCAAAUUCAACAUACAAAU